This 303-nucleotide small RNA is filed under the name Pan troglodytes (chimpanzee). RNAcentral describes it as "processed transcript". Lineage: Eukaryota; Metazoa; Chordata; Mammalia; Primates; Hominidae. The record is from RNAcentral.
GGUCCUGAGAAAACUCCCCUUUCUGGCUCAUGCGCUGUAUGUCCAGGCCCCCACCGUCACCAUAGAGGGGUUCCUCCAGGCCCUAUCUCUGGCAGUGGACAAGCAGUUUGAAGAGAGAAAGAAGCUUGCGGCUUACAUCUGAUCCUGGGCUUCCCCAUCUGGUGCUUUUCCCAUGGAGAACACACAACCAAUAAUUCAGAUUGUUUGUCUCCUUGUGAAGAACCAUCGAAACCUGUUUGUUCCCAGCCCACCCCCAGUGGAUGGGAUGCAUAAUGCCAGCAAGUUUUGUUUAACAGCAAAAAA